UUCAGUAACGAAGCUAACGCGUGAAGUUGACCGCCUGGGGAGUACGGCCGCAAGGUUGGAACUCAAAGGAAUUGACGGGGACCCGCACAAGCGGUGGAUGAUGUGGUUUAAUUCGAUGCAACGCGAAAAACCUUACCUACCCUUGACAUGCCAGGAACUUGCCAGAGAUGGCUUGGUGCUCGAAAGAGAACCUGGACACAGGUGCUGCAUGGCCGUCGUCAGCUCGUGUCGUGAGAUGUUGGGUUAAGUCCCGCAACGAGCGCAACCCUUGUCGUUAGUUGCUACGAAAGGGCACUCUAAUGAGACUGCCGGUGACAAACCGGAGGAAGGUGGGGAUGACGUCAGGUCCUCAUGGCCCUUAUGGGUGGGGCUACAUACGUCAUACAAUGGCCGGUACAGAGGGCUGCCAACCCGCGAGGGGGAGCCAAUCCCAGAAAACCGGUCGUAGUCCGGAUCGCAGUCUGCAACUCGACUGCGUGAAGUCGGAAUCGCUAGUAAUCGCGGAUCAGCUUGCCGCGGUGAAUACGUUCCCGGGUCUUGUACACACCGCCCGUCACACCAUGGGAGCGGGUUCUGCCAGAAGUAGUUAGCCUAACCGCAAGGAGGGCGAUUACCACGGCAGGGUUCGUGACUGGGGUGAAGUCGUAACAAGGUAGCCGUAUCGGAAGGUGCGGCUGGAUCACCUCCUU
Molecule: ribosomal RNA, 689 nt
Filed under: uncultured Aquabacterium sp.
Lineage: Bacteria; Pseudomonadati; Pseudomonadota; Betaproteobacteria; Burkholderiales; Sphaerotilaceae
Description: bacterial SSU rRNA
Rfam family: Bacterial small subunit ribosomal RNA
Source: RNAcentral